Molecule: long non-coding RNA, 286 nt
Filed under: Takifugu rubripes (torafugu)
Lineage: Eukaryota; Metazoa; Chordata; Actinopteri; Tetraodontiformes; Tetraodontidae
Description: lncRNA (ENSTRUG00000026816.1)
Source: RNAcentral
GCCUGGAGAACCUCACAUUGAUGGAUCUCGCACACUACAGAGAGCUGAGGAAUCUCACCAUCACGUCGUGCAAGCUGAGGCUCAUCUCCGCUAACGCCUUCCAACAAAACCUCAAGCUUCAGUAUGUGAACUUGGCCUUCAAUUCUCUGGAGCACAUAUCCUGGAGGGUUUUCCAUUUCCUACCCCUGCUCAACCUGUGAGUCCCACCUAAGUCAUGAAAUCUUACAAAUAAAUAAGUGUGUCGCUGAAAACAAGGAAGCUAGUAGAUGGAGAAGAACCGCAGUUC